RNAcentral lists this ribosomal RNA (1248 nucleotides) under Candidatus Zambryskibacteria bacterium RIFCSPHIGHO2_12_FULL_38_34. RNAcentral's name for it is "bacterial LSU rRNA". It matches the Rfam family "Bacterial large subunit ribosomal RNA", at positions 2045 to 2913 of the family's 2925-position model. Lineage: Bacteria; Candidatus Zambryskiibacteriota. The record is from RNAcentral.
GUACCGGUGAAGAUGCCGGUUACCUGCAGUUAGACGAAAAGACCCCGGAAGCUUUACUGCAACUUGGCAUUGAGGAUAUGUUUUUACUGCGUAGCAUAGAUGGGAGGAUUUGAGAUAUCUUUUUCGGGAGAUGUUGAUCCGUCAGUGAAAUACCAUUCUGUGAUGACAUAUUUUCUAACCUCUCGCGUCAAACGCGAAAGAGACAGUGCCUGGCGGGCAGUUUUAGUGGGGCGCUAUCCUCCUAAAGAGUAACGGAGGAGCCUAUUAAGGUCAGCUAGCCGUGAAUGGAAACCAUGGCGAUAGUGUAUAGGCACAAGCUGGCUUAACUGCAAGACGUACAUGUCGAGCAGAUGCGAAAGCAGAGCUAAGUGAACCGAUCGUACGCGUUAGACGCGGCGAAAGAUUAUCGGACAAAAGCUACUCCGGGGAUAACAGGCUGGUUCCGCCUAAGCGUCCAGAGCGACGGCGGAGUUCGGCACCUCGAUGUCGGCUCAACUUAUCCCGGGGGUGGAGAAGCUCCCAAGGGUAUGGCUGUUCGCCAUUUAAAAAGUUACGCGAGCUGGGUUCAGACCGUUCAGAAUAAAAUGAAAAGAUUCAAAGAAGCAAAGAAGGAAAAAUUAAUCUUUCCAUCUUUAAAUCUUUCCUUCUUUCAAUUGUAUUUUGAAUAAUCUGAAUCCUCAGAGGAAAUUGAAAUUAAAAUCAUAAUGUUAUAAGUUUUUUUGUUAAGUAAAAAAGAUAAGAACAAUCAAAUCACGGCGGUCUUUGAUAUUUAAAAUAUUGAAGAUUAAAGUUGACUAUAUCGGUGAAGUCCUGAGAGAAGUCGAAGGAUAAUACCGAGGGAAGAGGUCGCGAGUACACGACAUAAGUGUCGCUUUCGCUCCCUUACCUGUAGAGACUGAACGUCAACAAUGUGCGCAAGCACAAAAAGCUACAGUCCAUUGCACAGAGUAAUCUGUGGUAACAAGCGUGAGACAGGUUGGUCUCCUAUCUACUGCAGGCGUUGAUUCUUGAGGGGAUUUGACGAUAGUACGAGAGGACCUCGUUGAACCGACCUCUGGUGUACCUGCUGUUCUGCCAAGAGCAUCGCAGGGUAGCUAAGUCGGGUUUGGAUAACCUCUGAAAGCAUAUAAGAGGGAAGCCAACCCCAAGAUUAGGAAUCGUUAAGGAUCGUGAGAGAUGAUCACGUUGAUAGGCGCUAGGUGUAAGCACUGUAAAGUGUUAAGCCGAGGCGUACUAAUUUUCCGAUUC